AUGGACAUAGCUACUAGCUAACGGGACUCCAGUCCAGUGUUGUUGUGGUAGUGGACCUUUCAGGAUGUAUCGAAAGUCAUUCUCUACACAUUUACUUGCUUUCAUCAUGGCAGACCCCUGGAAUAACAGCGAUUGUUUUCACAUCCUCCUGGUCAUUUAAACAGCUGCUGUGCCAGGCUGAUGAGUUCUUUUGCUACUGCCAUGGCCGUUUUGUAGGGUCGUAAUCACACUUAAAAGCAUACACUACUGUACCAGUGUUGACUUCUGCAACUACAAUGGCAGCUUUGCAGGGAAGAAAUCAUUGCUUCUAAGGUUAGAGACAGAAGCGCUAAGUGAUAAGCGCUUGGCUCCUCAAAGAAUGCUGAAAUGAAAAACAGGCAGGAAUGGUGACCUGUGCGAUCUGAGGUUGGCGACAUCUCAGUGAUCACAUGAUUGGAUCAUGCGGCCGCCCAUCGUUGCUAGGCACUCUGUGUUGGUAGCGUAUGAUGUAUGGGCCUUAGGGAUAGGUGAUGCAAAGAAGAGAUGACACUCUUGGAUUGCUUGUGUCAUUGUGCAGAACACACCUGGAGGAGGUUGGGGAACGCCCAUCAUAAGAUGGGUUCAUGGCACCAUAUAAGAGAAUGGGUUCUCUAAGACUUUAAUGACCAUUAAAAUGGUGUAGUUAAUCAGACAGUGAGAUUUUAGGGAGUUACUUACUUAAACCUGGUUCAGGAGAGGAAAAUUACGUUUACAGUUUUUUGGGGGUCAGACUUUAUUCCUUUAACUCCAUUUUUAUGUAUUCAUUUUGUUCCAUUUAAUGUUACUAAUUUGGGAAAUAAAAAGUAUAUUUUUGUA
Long non-coding RNA from Macrobrachium nipponense, 834 nucleotides. RefSeq lists it as uncharacterized. The record is from RefSeq and is a predicted model, not a curated record. The transcript has 5 exons. Lineage: Eukaryota; Metazoa; Arthropoda; Malacostraca; Decapoda; Palaemonidae.